GUCUCUGUCUCUCUCUCUCUCUCAGAUAUUUUAUUCAUUUUCCUCAAGUCCUUAAAUAAGAAACGUGGUAUCAAAGAAAAACAUAAUCCCACUGUUGCCUCACCCCAAAAAAAUUGGAACACUGUAUAUGAAGUGCCCGUCUAGUUUUCACUCAUGGCUGCUGCAAUAACUAAACUUCACAUAUACCCACAAGGCAUAGAUCAGUUUUCUUUCGGGGAACAACCGAGAAAUGGAUUACUUAGGCAAGGUUUUUUAUGGUCAGGUUCUGGUGGGGUACAUAGGGGACGUCAUGGUUUGUACGUGCAGAAGUGCAGGUCUUUUAGGUCUGAGGAUAGAGGAGCAGAAGUGGAAGAGAAACAGAACAUAAGUGAGGAAAAUUGUAGGGUGGUGAAGGAAAACGAGGACAAGUUGAAGAAGGGAGGUGGGCUCUGGAGUACUUUGAAAGAUGCUGUUUCUGGGUUUGGAAGGUCGGAUUCACAAUCAAAUGAGGAGCAUACGAAGGCAGUAGCUAAAUUGGAGGAGGUUCUCUCAUUGGUGAGUUGUAAAAUAGGUUAAUUUUGUAGAUUGUAAAAAUUUCAGGAAUAUGCAGGUAACUCAUUUCUAUUUUGUGUUCAUCAAAUUUUAAUAGUUUAUGUGUUCAACUGAACUCUAGUAUUUGCAGUUGAUAGAAUUUAAGAUUGAAUUUUUAAUUUUGAUAAUGUUCCUGUCACUUUGUUGGAAUUCAGUAGAAUGAUUAUUUAUAUUGUAAGCGUUUUUAAAUUCAUUUUGGUAACAAAUAACAAAAGCUUUGGCUUUCUAACAAUUUUUAUUUUCUCAUUGAACAAAACUAUGCUUAGCAUAACUAAUAAAAAUGAAAGAGAAACCGUAAAACUCAAAUUCCAUUAUUUUUCUUCAUAUGCAGCAAGAUUCAUUGAUGCUAUCUUUACUAAAAGUUUGGUAGUUGGAUAAUAUAUUCUUCAUUAUAAUUUGGCAAAUGCAAGUUCAAUUAAAACCUUUCUUUCAUUAUCCAGAUUGCUAUCCAAAUAGGAAGAUAUAUUGUCACUAUGAUGAGCACUGGUGUGAUACUUGCAGUUGGUUUUCACUUGUCAGGUGGAGACAGUCAAAUGAAUACACUGAUUUGGUAUAGCUGGCUUGGAGGAAUUAUUAUUGGAACUAUGGUAGGUGCUAACAUGGUUUUAGAUGAACAUUGUCGAGCUGGUCCGCGCAAUGUUGUUGUAACUGGAAGGUACUGCCUCCCUCUCCAUCUGCAGGCUUCAUGCAGUAGUUAGUUUUUCCAUAUCAAACUACAUGUAAUCCCACUACUUUUGCAAUUUAAAAGGUGAUGGGGGCUCCCGCAGAACUGCAUAUCCCUUUGAUGCAUAAACAAAUACAUCUCAGUGUUUCUUUAUCUGAUUUGUUAUUUUUGGGAACUUGGACAUAUUAAUGCUUCACUUGAAAUUAUUCUGUGUGAGGUAGUAUAAUUAAAAAUUUGACGUAAAAAUCCUGCUUAUGGAUUGGGAAAAUUUAUGCGAGUAUGUUCUUGCGCAUGUUUAAACUGUCUUGUUUAGCACAAGGGGACUCGGAAAGGCACUUGCUCGAGAAUUUCUUCUGUCUGGCGAUCGUGUGGUUAUUGCUUCACGCAGGUUGUAUACAAAAUCAUGAUAUUUGUUGUUUAUGGAUAUAUAGCAUUCUAUCUUUAUGAUAUCUGUACUCACAACUCCUCAUCCUUGCCUGGAUCUUUGCGAAGGCAGUCCUGAGUCUGUAGAUAUGACAGUCAAAGAGCUUGAAGAGAACCUCAGGGAGGGAAUGGUCACCACCAGUGGUUCAUCUAGGACAAAUCUAACACAUGCAAAAGUGGUUGGCAUAUCUUGUGAUGUUUGUGAACCUUCUGAUGUGCAGAAAUUGGCAAAUUUUGCUAUCAAUGAGUUUGGAUCCAUUGAUAUAUGGAUAAAUAAUGCUGGCACAAAUAAAGGAUUUAGACCCUUGCUGCAGUUUACUGAUGAAGAUAUUAAGCAGAUUGUUUCAACAAAUUUGGUUGGAUCUAUUCUCUGUACUCGAGAAGCAAUGCGUGUCAUGGUAAACCAACCGAAGGGGGGGCACAUUUUUAAUAUGGAUGGUGCUGGUUCUGGGGGAUCUAGUACCCCUCUUACAGCCGUUUAUGGAUCAACAAAGUGUGGUCUUAGGCAACUCCAAUCA
Molecule: unclassified non-coding RNA, 2175 nt
Filed under: Hevea brasiliensis (rubber tree)
Lineage: Eukaryota; Viridiplantae; Streptophyta; Magnoliopsida; Malpighiales; Euphorbiaceae
Source: RNAcentral